This 1136-nucleotide long non-coding RNA is filed under the name Homo sapiens (human). RNAcentral's name for it is "non-protein coding lnc-SEC22C-2:7". Lineage: Eukaryota; Metazoa; Chordata; Mammalia; Primates; Hominidae. The record is from RNAcentral.
GGGGGGCGCGGACACGCGUGGUGUGCGCGGUCCCCGUGCAGCCCGCCCUGCCGCAGGCUGCCCUCCACCCCCAGCCCCAGCUCCAGCCCCCAGCCCGUCCCCACUGCUCAUAUCCGAGCAGAUAGACCCCGGCCCCACCCUCCCGUGCUGAGCCUCCUUUCUGCCGGGAAGUUCGUCCGGGAGUCAAACAUCGCUGCCCUCCGGUUGCGCCACGGAGGGGGAGCCAGGAUAGGAAGCUGCCGUGAAAUCAGGAAGCUGAGCGCGCCGGGCCCCGGAUCCGAACAGAAAAGGCUUCCACCCGCUCCCCUGAGGGAUCCCACGCUGAGGGACUGAACCCCGCACCCCAGCCGCGCUCACCACCCCCACCCUCUCGCCUGGGCUGCUCUGACCUGGGGGUGAGUCUGGGGUCCCCAACUGGUCCAGUCCCCCAUCCCUAUCCCAGGGCGGCGGAAUGCAUCCAGAUUUGACAAAUUUCAGGAGUUGCCCAACUAAGGAGUCCACUGUUAACUCAGUUUAAAAACUGAGUAUCUGCAGUGAGAAGUUAACUACAAUAAGUUAUGUUGUAUUCACUAAGAAAAUAGACAUUCCUUUCAGUUCUGAGGAGACAAAAGUUAAUUGUACUUCCCCUGCAAAUUCUUAUGUGUAUACUAAAAAUAUCACCAUGAAUGUUUUCUCUGGGAGUGAGUGACAUGUGCUGCACUGCCUAGUGCGCUGCCGUUAGGGAGGGAAAUGUAGAGGCUGUAGGUAAAUGGACUGUCUCUAGGUAGAAACUCACACAUGGGAUGUGACAUAUUCCUCCCUCAGCAAAGACAUCUUUAUGCAGGUCAUUUUAACUAGAUGACAACAAAGUGUAGAGGAAAUCUGGAUUUUCCAGGGGAGGAAGACCAAACAUCAUUAAUGCUUACCUGUGUAGGUUAAAAUCUCUGCCUGACAUUCUCUCUAGCUCCACCUCCUACACCCACCACUAACACUCAGCUAGGAGAAGAAAAGGAGCUGCCAAAGGAGAUGAGGUGUCUUCACUGGCUGGGUCAGCAGAAAGAUAAAACAUGAACAGACUCAGACUUAGACUAAGUAUAUAUUUUAAUUUCUACAAGGUCCCCUUUCAAGUUUUAGGGAAAUUUAACUGAAGUGUAUAC